Molecule: non-coding RNA, 275 nt
Organism: Paramuricea clavata
Lineage: Eukaryota; Metazoa; Cnidaria; Anthozoa; Malacalcyonacea; Plexauridae
Source: the annotation of a GenBank genome assembly
CGUGAACAUAAUAUUAAUCUAUACUAUUCGACGUGUCCCGUAGCAACAAAGAUAGCGUUAAUUUCACCCACAAAUUUUAUAAUAUAAAUUAUUUCCCUGCAGUUGUCUCAGAAAAUCACGAGUAAAAAAUUUAUCAAAUUCUGAUCAUUUUUCUUUAAUUCAGCUAUAUACGCGUACCAUAUAAGUUAGUGUGGCGUACUGUCUAAAAUUGGCGAAAACUAUGUAAUCAAUUUCUCAAAAUAUGAGCGCAAUAUUUUACGAUUUCUUCACACGGG